RNAcentral lists this ribosomal RNA (405 nucleotides) under uncultured bacterium. Its description in RNAcentral is "partial 16S ribosomal RNA". It matches the Rfam family "Bacterial small subunit ribosomal RNA", at positions 30 to 526 of the family's 1533-position model. The record is from RNAcentral.
AUUGAACGCUAGCGGGAUGCUUUACACAUGCAAGUCGAACGAGUGGCGGACGGGUGAGUAAUAUAUCGGAACGUGCCCAGUAGCGGGGGAUAACUACUCGAAAGAGUGGCUAAUACCGCAUACGAUUGGAGCGGCCGAUAUCGGCUUAGCUAGUUGGUGGGGUAAAGGCUCACCAAGGCAACGAUCCGUAGCUGGUUUGAGAGGACGACCAGCCACACUGGGACUGAGACACGGCCCAGACUCCUACGGGAGGCAGCAGUGGGUAAUUUUGGACAAUGGGGGAAACCCUGAUCCAGCCAUCCCGCGUGAGGGAGAAGGCUUUCGGGUUGUAAACCUCUUUUCACAGGGAAGCGGUACCUGUGGAAUAAGCUUCGGCUAACUACGUGCCAGCAGCCGCGGUAAUUC